Molecule: ribosomal RNA, 250 nt
Filed under: uncultured bacterium
Lineage: Bacteria
Description: partial 16S ribosomal RNA
Rfam family: Bacterial small subunit ribosomal RNA
Source: RNAcentral
GACGAACCGUACGAACGUUAUUCGGAAUUACUGGGCUUAAAGGGUGCGUAGGCGGCGCUGAAAGUUGGGUGUGAAAUCCCUCGGCUCAACCGAGGAACUGCGCUCAAUACUACAGUGCUCGAGGGAGAUAGAGGUAAGCGGAACUUAGGGUGGAGCGGUGAAAUGCGUUGAUAUCCUAAGGAACACCUGUGGCGAAAGCGGCUUACUGGAUCUCUUCUGACGCUGAGGCACGAAAGCUAGGGUAGCGAAC